This 40-nucleotide non-coding RNA is filed under the name Schistosoma margrebowiei. The record is from RNAcentral. Lineage: Eukaryota; Metazoa; Platyhelminthes; Trematoda; Strigeidida; Schistosomatidae.
CUGCUGAGGAGUCCCAUACCAGGACGAAACGGCCGUCCAG